Molecule: ribosomal RNA, 1100 nt
Filed under: uncultured organism
Description: bacterial SSU rRNA
Rfam family: Bacterial small subunit ribosomal RNA
Source: RNAcentral
AAUAUUGCGCAAUGGAGGAAACUCUGACGCAGCCAUCCCGCGUGCAGGAUUGACGGCCCUAUGGGUUGUAAACUGCUUUUCUAUACCAAGAAACACCGAUACGUGUAUCGGUUUGCCGGUAGUAUAGGAAUAAGCAUCGGCUAACUCCGUGCCAGCAGCCGCGGUAAUACGGAGGAUGCAAGCGUUAUCCGGAAUCACUGGGUUUAAAGGGUGCGCAGGCGGAAUAGUAAGUCAGAGGUGAAAGCCCACAGCUCAACUGUGGAAUUGCCUUUGAUACUGUUAUUCUUGAGUGUAGUUGAAGUAGGCGGAAUAUAGCAUGUAGCGGUGAAAUGCAUAGAUAUGCUAUAGAACACCAAUUGCGAAGGCAGCUUGCUAAACUAUAACUGACGCUGAGGCACGAAAGCGUGGGGAGCGAACAGGAUUAGAUACCCUGGUAGUCCACGCCGUAAACUAUGAACACUCGCUGUUGGCAAUACACAGUCAGCGGCUGAGCGAAAGCGUUAAGUGUUCCACCUGGGAAGUACGAUCGCAAGGUUGAAACUCAAAGGAAUUGACGGGGGCCCGCACAAGCGGAGGAGCAUGUGGUUUAAUUCGAUGAUACGCGAGGAACCUUACCUGGGCUUAAAUGUAUAUUGACGUACUGAGAAAUCAGUAUUUCUUCGGACAAUUUACAAGGUGCUGCAUGGUUGUCGUCAGCUCGUGCCGUGAGGUGUCGGGUUAAGUCCCAUAACGAGCGCAACCCCUACUUCUAGUUACCAGCAUUUCGGAUGGGGACUCUAGAGGAACUGCCUACGCAAGUAGAGAGGAAGGUGGGGAUGACGUCAAAUCAGCACGGCCCUUAUGUCCAGGGCUACACACGUGCUACAAUGGCCGGUACAGAGGGCAGCUACAUAGCAAUAUGAUGCUAAUCUCAAAAGCCGGUCUCAGUCCGGAUUGGAGUCUGCAACUCGACUCCAUGAAGCUGGAUUCGCUAGUAAUCGCACAUCAGCAAUGGUGCGGUGAAUACGUUCCCGGGCCUUGUACACACCGCCCGUCAAGCCAUGGAAGUUGGGGGUACCUGAAGUCGAUUGCCGUAAGGCGUUGCCUAGGGUAAACCAAUG